Molecule: ribosomal RNA, 447 nt
Filed under: uncultured bacterium
Lineage: Bacteria
Description: bacterial SSU rRNA
Rfam family: Bacterial small subunit ribosomal RNA
Source: RNAcentral
UUCCAGACUCCUACGGGAGGCAGCAGUGGGGAAUAUUGCACAAUGGGGGAAACCCUGAUGCAGCAACGCCGCGUGAGUGAAGAAGUAUUUCGGUAUGUAAAGCUCUAUCAGCAGGGAAGAAAAUGACGGUACCUGAGUAAGAAGCCCCGGCUAACUACGUGCCAGCAGCCGCGGUAAUACGUAGGGGGCAAGCGUUAUCCGGAUUUACUGGGUGUAAAGGGAGCGUAGACGGCGAUACAAGUCUGAAGUGAAGGCCCGGGGCUCAACCCCGGGACUGCUUUGGAAACUGCGUUGCUGGAGUGCAGGAGGGGCAGGCGGAAUUCCUGGUGUAGCGGUGAAAUGCGUAGAUAUCAGGAGGAACACCAGUGGCGAAGGCGGCUUACUGGACUGUAACUGACGUUGAGGCUCGAAAGCGUGGGGAGCAAACAGGAUUAGAUACCCGGGUAA